CCACAAGGCGGCAGGAGCAUCCCCUCCCCCGGCUGUGCCACGGAAACGUCUGCGGAGAGAGCCCAGGGCCUGCACCCGACCGAGCCAGAGCCGCUGACAUGAGAAGGGGGGAAAGGCUGCCUCUCUCGGGUUUACCAGUCUUCUGAGCCGCGUGCAUCGGUUUAUUAAUUUGCCCCGGGAGGCCAGGACACACUGCUUCUCCCAGAUUCGCCUCCCGGCGCUAUUUUUCUAGGGCUAAUUAUUAACUAUCGGCUCUCAUUCUCUGAGUGUCUGUCAAAAAGAGGACAGCAUCCACCUUGAAGGGACUGUGUCUUAAUCACCUGCAUCGGCUAAUGGGCCAGCAAGGUGCUGGAGUCCUCCCGCCCCUCCGGACCUCUCCCGAGAGGGGCCGUCCGCGCUCCCUCUGUGCCAGACGCCAGCGGGUGCCAGUUCCGGAAAUGCUGGUGCCCUUUACCACCUCUCAAUUUGACACUAAUAAGCCUGAUUCGGACUCUGCGUUUCAGAGCGGCAGCCGAAUGUGGUUGCCAGCAAGGGCAAGCAGCUGGUGCCAGCAGGCUUUUCCAGGCAAGGCAGGAGUGCUGUAUUUCCUCCACCUCCUCACUGCUCAGAGAUGGUCUUGGAGCUGAUCCACUUGGUUACCCGCAGACAGGAACGGAGUCAGCAGCAGCCAGGCCAGAUGGCCCUGCGUCCACUCCGGAACCAAGACUCUCCUCCGAGGAGCAGAGAGGGUCAAACCUACCCAAUAGAAGCCAGCAAGCAGCAGCAUUCCACUCUUCAAAUGCAUGUUGAAUCUUUGGAUUUGCAUCCAUCUCCAAAUGAUGGAAAGGACAAAGGCAGACAG
This is a long non-coding RNA of Heterocephalus glaber (naked mole-rat), 841 nucleotides long. NCBI's taxonomy places the organism in Eukaryota, Metazoa, Chordata, Mammalia, Rodentia, Bathyergidae. The record is from Ensembl.